This 48-nucleotide non-coding RNA is filed under the name Trypanosoma brucei brucei. Lineage: Eukaryota; Euglenozoa; Kinetoplastea; Trypanosomatida; Trypanosomatidae. The record is from RNAcentral.
AUAAUAAACCACAGUAUCAGAGACAGAUAUAGAAGUGAUGAUAGUUAU